RNAcentral lists this ribosomal RNA (253 nucleotides) under uncultured bacterium. RNAcentral's name for it is "partial 16S ribosomal RNA". It matches the Rfam family "Bacterial small subunit ribosomal RNA", at positions 524 to 776 of the family's 1533-position model. The record is from RNAcentral.
UACGUAGGAUGCAAGCGUUGUCCGGAAUUAUUGGGCGUAAAGAGUUCGUAGGCGGUGAUUUAAGUCUAGUGUUAAAGCCCGGAGCUCAACUCCGGCAUGGCAUUGGAAACUGAAUUGCUAGAGUGUGAUAGAGGUAACUGGAAUUCCAGGUGUAGCGGUGAGAUGCGUAGAUAUCUGGAGGAACACCGGUGGCGAAAGCGAGUUACUGGAUCAUAACUGACGCUGAGGAACGAGAGCCAGGGUAGCAAAAGGG